RNAcentral lists this ribosomal RNA (460 nucleotides) under uncultured bacterium. RNAcentral describes it as "partial 16S ribosomal RNA". It matches the Rfam family "Bacterial small subunit ribosomal RNA", at positions 338 to 795 of the family's 1533-position model. The record is from RNAcentral.
CCUACGGGAGGCAGCAGUGAGGAAUAUUGGUCAAUGGGCGGAAGCCUGAACCAGCCAAGUAGCGUGCAGGAUGACGGCCCUACGGGUUGUAAACUGCUUUUAUACGGGAAUAACGCGCCUUACGUGUAGGGCUUUGCAUGUACCGUAUGAAUAAGGACCGGCUAAUUCCGUGCCAGCAGCCGCGGUAAUACGGAAGGUCCGGGCGUUAUCCGGAUUUAUUGGGUUUAAAGGGAGCGUAGGCCGCAUGUCAAGCGUGCUGUGAAAUGUCCGGGCUCAACCCGGGCCUUGCAGCGCGAACUGGCGUGCUUGAGUCCGCGGAAAGCAGGCGGAAUUCGUCGUGUAGCGGUGAAAUGCUUAGAUAUGACGAAGAACCCCGAUUGCGAAGGCAGCCUGCUGCAGCGGAACUGACGCUGAUGCUCGAAAGCGCGGGUAUCGAACAGGAUUAGAUACCCGUGUAGUC